UACGGGGGGGGCAAGCGUUGUUCGGAAUUACUGGGCGUAAAGGGCUUGUAGGUGGCCAACUAAGUCAGACGUGAAAUCCCUCGGCUUAACCGGGGAACUGCGUCUGAUACUGGAUGGCUCGAGUGUGGGAGAGGGAUGCGGAAUUCCAGGUGUAGCGGUGAAAUGCGUAGAUAUCUGGAGGAACACCGGUGGCGAAGGCGACGUCCUGGACCGGUAUUGACGCUGAGGCACGAAAGCCAGGGGAGCAAACGGG
RNAcentral lists this ribosomal RNA (253 nucleotides) under uncultured bacterium. RNAcentral describes it as "partial 16S ribosomal RNA". It matches the Rfam family "Bacterial small subunit ribosomal RNA", at positions 524 to 776 of the family's 1533-position model. The record is from RNAcentral.